GACGAACGCUGGCGGCGUGCCUAAUACAUGCAAGUCGAACGCACUCUCGUUUAGAUUGAAGGAGCUUGCUCCUGAUUGAUAAACAUUUGAGUGAGUGGCGGACGGGUGAGUAACACGUGGGUAACCUGCCCUAAAGUGGGGGAUAACAUUUGGAAACAGAUGCUAAUACCGCAUAAAACCUAACACCGCAUGGUGUAGGGUUGAAAGAUGGUUUCGGCUAUCACUUUAGGAUGGACCCGCGGUGCAUUAGUAGUUGGUCGAGGUAAAGGCUCACCAAGACCGUGAUGCAUAGCCGACCUGAGAGGGUAAUCGGCCACACUGGGACUGA
This 328-nucleotide ribosomal RNA is filed under the name uncultured bacterium. RNAcentral describes it as "bacterial SSU rRNA". It matches the Rfam family "Bacterial small subunit ribosomal RNA", at positions 28 to 322 of the family's 1533-position model. The record is from RNAcentral.